CGUGGGAAGAGGGACACAUGGUUUAGGUCAUUCAUCGCAAGAGAGUCCGGGGCGGGAGCCCAUGGUCUGACCCAAAAUCCCCGCCAGCUUGGCCGGCGAGUCGUUGACCGGGCGCUGCAGUGGGUCAAGGCAUUCCACAUCAUUCCACGAAUUUCUCAUAGCCCGCAAGGGGUCAGGUCACCCCCCGUCACCCUCUCUCUCUCUCGCUUGCUCCUUCCCUUGGCAAGCAGUGUGAAAGCAAACUUUGAAACGAGAGAGAAGCAGAAAAGGAGAGAGGAACAGAGAGAGACAAAGAGUGGGAGAGAGCCGUUGCAGCUUCGGCUUAGCCUCGUCGGUUUUAAGGGAGGAGGGCAGCAGAAACAGCAGCAGGCGAACAUGCUGAAACACACGUACGCCAUGUACCUACAUAGGUAUGUAUGUGUGUAUGUGUGUAUGUAUGGGAAGGAACAAGAAUGAAAGCAGGGUUUCGUUUCCUUUUUGUUUUCGCACAACGCAACAACAACAUCCCAUCCCAUCCCCUUCCCCUUCCCCGUAACCGAGCAAACUGCGCAUUAACAGAAUUUUCGCCACAGUCCACAGCCCACAAUCCGUCAUCUACAAUCCACAAUCCACACACCAAACCAGCCAGCAAUUUGCAAUCCAACAACAACACAACUCAACCUACUCGUAAUGUGUGCUUUAUUAUGCAGCUUAUCUACUUGCAUAUGCAACACAUACACUCAGCCAUGCAUGUGUCUGUGCUGUGUCUGCCUCUGCGGCUGCGUCCGUGCAUCUGUGUGGUGUGUGGGAAUUUUUUAUGAUGCUGGUAUGGAUAGCACUAGCCUGGCAGAUGACGUCAGGUCGCAGCAAUUACGAUAGUCACGACCAUUUCGAUAGGCGAUGCGCACGAAAAUAGCUUAUCGCUUAUCGAAAGCCAGAUAGAAGAAGAAAUAAAUUCCUUUCGCAUGGAUAUUGCAUGGAUAUAAAUCACGAUCAUAAACCGAUCAUACUCGUUGAAUCCACCAUGGAUAUACCCAAAACUAACGGGAAACUAAAUCCAUUAUCUGAUUGUACUAUCUUUCUCUCACUCCUCCGCCCAUCCCCCAAAACCAUUAUCUCAAGGUCGACUACAGUUUCUCUCUAAUCAAGUUUAAAUAUAAAGCAUUGUAAAAAGAGUUCAAAUACGCCUA
Molecule: small RNA, 1169 nt
Filed under: Drosophila pseudoobscura pseudoobscura
Lineage: Eukaryota; Metazoa; Arthropoda; Insecta; Diptera; Drosophilidae
Description: GA32910
Source: RNAcentral